AGGAAUUAACUUAUCAGUAAGUCCGUGACAUUUUUUCUUGUUUGAUUUUUUCUAGUCUUUGUUUUCACAUUCCUUUUAGGACUAUAGACUCAAUUAUAGGGAGACGUUUAUCUAGGCGAUUAAAGUUUUGAUAUUGAAUAACAUUGAGUUGGUUGUAAGAGUUGAUUCGUUCCUCCCCAUACCCUCCCGCGUCAGAUUUAG
Molecule: long non-coding RNA, 201 nt
Filed under: Carica papaya (papaya)
Lineage: Eukaryota; Viridiplantae; Streptophyta; Magnoliopsida; Brassicales; Caricaceae
Description: long non-coding RNA (CPAP_LNC012946)
Source: RNAcentral